RNAcentral lists this long non-coding RNA (799 nucleotides) under Panax ginseng (ginseng). Its description in RNAcentral is "long non-coding RNA (PGIN_LNC015774)". Lineage: Eukaryota; Viridiplantae; Streptophyta; Magnoliopsida; Apiales; Araliaceae. The record is from RNAcentral.
AGAAGGAGACAGACAGGAGCUUUGGACUGAGGAAUUUUAGAUACCUUGACACCAUUAAAGAAGCUGUGGAGAGAGAGUGCCCAGGAGUUGUUUCCUGUGCAGAUAUCCUUGUCUUAUCUGGUAGAGAUGGCAUUGUUUCUGUAAGUGAUGCUACCUUAUCCACAAUAGGUUUCUCUAAAUUUACUCACUUUUCCAAGCACACUGUUUUUUUUGUUGCUAAUUUCCACACACACCAGUCACAAACUCAAGAAUCGAACACCAAAUCAUAAGACAAGAGUUAUCGAUGGGCCAAGAACUUCAAGCACACUUAUAAAAGAUCUGAUUGUGGGAACCUGUUUUUCUCUUAAUUUAGAACUGUUUUUGUGUACUAAUAGUAUAUUGCUUGCACAGCUUGGAGGCCCUUACAUCCCUCUUAAAACUGGAAGAAGAGAUGGCAGGAAGAGCAGAGCAGAUAUACUGGAGGAAUACCUCCCUGACCACAAUGAGAGCAUGACUGUUGUUCUUGAAAGGUUUGCAUCCAUGGGUAUUGACACCCCUGGAAUUGUUGCCUUGCUAGGUUCCCACAGUGUGGGCCGGACACACUGUGUCAAACUGGUUCACCGGUUAUACCCGGACGUUGACCCGGUUCUGAACCCGGGUCAUGUUGAGCACAUGCUACACAAGUGCCCGGAUCAGAUCCCGGACCCGAAGGCGGUGCAGUAUGUGAGAAAUGACAGGGGUACCCCCAUGGUUCUGGAUAAUAACUACUACAGAAAUAUAUUGGACAACAAGGGGUUAUUAAUAGUGGAUCAUCAACUAG